AUUGAACGCUGGCGGCAUGCCUUACACAUGCAAGUCGAACGGCAGCACGGGUGCUUGCCCCUGGUGGCGAGUGGCGAACGGGUGAGUAAUACAUCGGAACAUGUCCUGUAGUGGGGGAUAGCCCGGCGAAAGCCGGAUUAAUACCGCAUACGAUCUACGGAUGAAAGCGGGGGACCUUCGGGCCUCGCGCUAUAGGGUUGGCCGAUGGCUGAUUAGCUAGUUGGUGGGGUAAAGGCCUACCAAGGCGACAAUCAGUAGCUGGUCUGAGAGGACGACCAGCCACACUGGGACUGAGACACGGCCCAGACUCCUACGGGAGGCAGCAGUGGGGAAUUUUGGACAAUGGGCGAAAGCCUGAUCCAGCAAUGCCGCGUGUGUGAAGAAGGCCUUCGGGUUGUAAAGCACUUUUGUCCGGAAAGAAAUCCUUGGCCCUAAUACGGUCGGGGGAUGACGGUACCGGAAGAAUAAGCACCGGCUAACUACGUG
RNAcentral lists this ribosomal RNA (486 nucleotides) under uncultured bacterium. RNAcentral describes it as "partial 16S ribosomal RNA". It matches the Rfam family "Bacterial small subunit ribosomal RNA", at positions 30 to 507 of the family's 1533-position model. The record is from RNAcentral.